AGCCAUGCGAGUCGAGAGGGUUCGGCCCUCGGCGGACUGCUCAGUAACACGUGGAUAAUCUGCCCUUAGGUGGAGGAUAACCUCGGGAAACUGAGAAUAAUACUCCAUAGGUCUAGGAUGCUGGAAUGCAUCUAGACUCAAAGAUUUAUCGCCUAAGGAUGAGUCUGCGGACUAUCAGGUUGUAGUCAGGGUAAUGGCCUGACUAGCCUACGACGGAUACGGGUUGCGAGAGCAAUAACCCGGAGACGAUAUCUGAGACACGAUAUCGGGCCCUACGGGGCGCAGCAGGCGCGAAAACUUCGCACUGUGCGAAAGCACGACGAGGGGAUCCCAAGUGCUGGCUCGUAAGAGUCAGCUGUUUCUUUGUCUAAAAAACAGAGAGAGUAAGAGCUGGGUAAGACGGGUGCCAGCCGCCGCGGUAAUACCUGCAGCUCAAGUGGUGGCCGCUAUUAUUGGGCCUAAAACGUCCGUAGCCGGUUCUAUAAAUGCCUGGGUAAAUCGUACGGCUUAACCGUACGAAUUCCGGGUAGACUGUUUAACUUGGGACCGGGAGAGGCUAGAGGUACUCCUGGGGUAGAGGUGAAAUUCUGUAAUCCUAGGGGGACCACCAGUGGCGAAGGCGUCUAGCUAGAACGGGUCUGACGGUGAGGGACGAAGCCCUGGGGAGCAAACGGGAUUAGAUACCCCGGUAGUCCAGGGUGUAAACGCUGCUCGCUUGAUGUUAGUCGGGCUCCGAGCCCAAACUAGUGUCGGAGAGAAGUUGUUAAGC
This 769-nucleotide ribosomal RNA is filed under the name uncultured archaeon. RNAcentral's name for it is "bacterial SSU rRNA". It matches the Rfam family "Archaeal small subunit ribosomal RNA", at positions 47 to 820 of the family's 1478-position model. The record is from RNAcentral.